AUUGCAGGCUGAAACUCGCCUGCAUGAAGUCGGAAUUGCUAGUAAUCGCAGAUCAGCAUGCUGCGGUGAAUACGUUCCCGGGCCUUGUACACACCGCCCGUCACACCAUGGGAGCCGGUAAUACCCGAAGUCAGUAGUCUAACCGCAAGGGGGACGCUGCCGAAGGUAGGAUUGGCGACUGGGGUGAAGUCGUAACAAGGUACC
This 204-nucleotide ribosomal RNA is filed under the name uncultured bacterium. RNAcentral describes it as "partial 16S ribosomal RNA". It matches the Rfam family "Bacterial small subunit ribosomal RNA", at positions 1297 to 1500 of the family's 1533-position model. The record is from RNAcentral.